This 259-nucleotide ribosomal RNA is filed under the name uncultured bacterium. RNAcentral describes it as "partial 16S ribosomal RNA". It matches the Rfam family "Bacterial small subunit ribosomal RNA", at positions 98 to 354 of the family's 1533-position model. The record is from RNAcentral.
CGGGACUGGUGAGUAACGCGUGAGUAACCUGGCUAUAANAGGGGAAGUAACAGUUAGAAAUGACUACUAAUACCGCAUAAGCUGAUAAAGUCGCAUGAUUUAGUCAGAAAAGGAGCAAUCCGCUUAUAGAUGGGCUCGCGUCCGAUUAGCUAGUUGGUGGGGUAGAAGCCUACCAAGGCGACGAUCGGUAGCCGGACUGAGAGGUUGAACGGCCACAUUGGGACUGAGAUACGGCCCAGACUCCUACGGGAGGCAGCAG